This 358-nucleotide ribosomal RNA is filed under the name uncultured bacterium. Its description in RNAcentral is "partial 16S ribosomal RNA". It matches the Rfam family "Bacterial small subunit ribosomal RNA", at positions 338 to 694 of the family's 1533-position model. The record is from RNAcentral.
CCUACGGGAGGCUGCAGUGAGGAAUAUUAGUCAAUGGGCGGGAGCCUGAACCAGCCAAGCCGCGUGAGGGAAGAAGGUACAGCGUAUCGUAAACCUCUUUUGUCAGGGAACAAAGGCGGGGACUAGUCCCCUUAUGAGGGUACCUUAAGAAAAAGCAUCGGCUAACUCCGUUCCAGCAGCCGCGGUUAUACGGAGGAUGCGAGCGUUAUCCGGAUUUAUUGGGUUUAAAGGGUGCGCGGGCGGCCUGUUAAGUUAGCGGUAAAAGCCCGGGGCUCAACCCCGGCGAGCCGUUGAAACUGGCGGGCUGGAGUUGGAGAGAGGUAGGCGGAAUGGGCGGUGUAGCGGUGAAAUGCUUAGA